Molecule: long non-coding RNA, 1086 nt
Organism: Entelurus aequoreus (snake pipefish)
Lineage: Eukaryota; Metazoa; Chordata; Actinopteri; Syngnathiformes; Syngnathidae
Exons: 3
Source: RefSeq, a predicted model, not a curated record
UUUAUUGUUGCGCGCGGUUUCGUCAGUAAACUAGCAUAGCAAAACGAGUUAUAGUGAAACACGGACGCAUGGAGUUACUAAGAACCACUGCUCCAGUCCACAUGAUUUGGGUUCUUCAGUCAUAAAGAAGGGUCGACUCUACAUCCGCCAGACUUAAAAGUCUUUGCUGCGGCUGGCAGGCGGCAGAUUGAGGAUAUUCUCGAUGGCCUCGGCGUAGCUGUCCUCGUCGUCUGCAAGGAAGCCUGUCUGGCCGCCCUCGAAAGGCACUACGAUGUCUAGCUUGGGACCUCCGGACUUGUGGGCGAGGAUGACUUUUCCUGCUGCCAUGCACUCCACGACACCUGAAGGGGAUCAGAGCGCUGUCACGUGCAAUAAAACAAACCGGUGAGUGGAGAUCUGUUACCUAUCCCAAAGUGCUCGUUCCACAUGGUGUGUAGCCCGAUAGUGGCCUCCUCCAACUCUUUCUUCAGCUCUGCAAAGGGUACGUUCAGUUUAAACUCCACCUUGUCAGCCACGCCCUGCUCCAGGCACAGCCCCCGCAACAUCAGCACCCGAUCUUGGUCCUCCUGAUUCCUGCAUCCUCCAAUUAGGAUCAGUUUUAGUGUCUCGUUGUCAUCUCUCCGUCGAGCCAACACCUUCUUGAAUGCCCUGAUCUGCAGUUUGUGGUCCUUCUCGGGCCGGAACUGCCCGAUGGAGACGAUGGAGCGGCACGUUUUCUUCCCCCCGUCCUCCUCCAACGGGAUAUCCAGGAAUGCGCUGACGUCGCAGGGCGGGUAGACAACGCUGGUGCGGUUGGGGACGUACCACAGUGAUAGAAUGUGGUCAAGUGUCCAGGAGGAGUUGACCAUGACAAGGUGACUGCAAGAGCCGGCCAUUCCGUACAGCAAGGCGAACACGCAGUAGUAGAACACCUUCACGGCGCUGAGGAACAGGUUGUUGGAGACGUAAUCUGGGUUGUUGAACCUGGGAUAAGAACAGCGAAUCAACUGUCACCACUUCAUUUAAAAUUCAGUUAUUCCCAAACACUGUUUUGAAGCCAUGAGAGAUUUUUCAAUUUGACUUAAUUGGUCAUAAAAUGCAAUCGUU